Molecule: ribosomal RNA, 433 nt
Filed under: uncultured bacterium
Lineage: Bacteria
Description: partial 16S ribosomal RNA
Rfam family: Bacterial small subunit ribosomal RNA
Source: RNAcentral
AACGAACGCUGGCGGCAUGCCUAACACAUGCAAGUCGAACGAGACCUUCGGGUCUAGUGGCGCACGGGUGCGUAGCGCGUGGGAACCUGCCCUUAGGUUCGGAAUAACUCCCCGAAAGGGGUGCUAAUACCGGAUAAUGUCUUCGGACCAAAGAUUUAUCGCCUUUGGAUGGGCCCGCGUUGGAUUAGCUAGUUGGUAGGGUAAAAGCCUACCAAGGCGACGAUCCAUAGCUGGUCUGAGAGGAUGAUCAGCCACACUGGGACUGAGACACGGCCCAGACACCUACGGGAGGCAGCAGUGGGGAAUAUUGGACAAUGUGCGAAAGCCUGAUCCAGCAAUGCCGCGUGAGUGAUGAAGGCCUUAGAGUUGUAAAGCUCUUUUACCCGUGAUGAUAAUGACAGUACCGUGAGAAUAAGCUCCGGCUAACUCCGUG